RNAcentral lists this unclassified non-coding RNA (76 nucleotides) under Pseudomonas sp. NFACC14. The record is from RNAcentral. Lineage: Bacteria; Pseudomonadati; Pseudomonadota; Gammaproteobacteria; Pseudomonadales; Pseudomonadaceae.
AAAGAUCGCAGCCUUCGGCAGCUCCUACAGGAGAAUCGCAUUCACAAUGUAGGAGCUGCCGAAGGCUGCGAUCUUU